AUUAUUUCAAUAUGAAACGUUUAAUGUAUUAAGCCAAAAAAAACGUGUUUCACUGGAUUACAAUUUUGCCUUUGCACGUAGACAUUCAAUAUUUUUUUUGUAUAAUUUUAAUAAAAAUGGCGGGUAAUUAUAUUCAUUUUCAUUGUCAUUCUAAAUGCACUGUAAAGAAUGGGCGAGUUAAGUUAGUCAUCCAGGAGAUUUAUCAAACAAUUCAAAAUCAAUUAUUUUAUGUACUUAGGGUAUUGUGUUUUGUAUAGUUUUUGUAUGCGCUUUAAUAUUUUAAUAUUUUUAUACGACCCCAAAAAUUGAAAAUUUUUUGGUCGUAUAUUGGUAUCACGUUGGCGUCGUCGUCUUUGUCGUCCGUAGUCGUCGUCGUCGUCGUUUUCGCACUAUAACUUUAGUAUAAGGGAAUAGAAAUCUAUGAAAUUUAAACACAAGGUCUAUGACCAUAAAAGGAAGGUUGGGAUAGAUUUUGGAAGUUUUGGUCCCAACAGUUUAGGAAUUAAGGGCCAAAAAGGGCCCAAAUAAGCAUUUUAUUUGUUUUCGCACUAUAACUUUAGUUUAAGUGAAUAGAAAUCUAUGAAAUUUUGACACAAGGUUUAUGACCACUAAAGGAAGGUUGGGAUUGAUUUUGGGAGUUUUGUCCCAUCAGUUUAGGAAUUAGGGGGCAAAAAAAGAGCCCAAAUAAGCAUUAUUCUUGGUUUUCGCUCAAUAACUUUAGUAUAAGUAAAUAGACAUCAAUGAAAUUUAAACACAAGGUUUAUGAACUCAAAAGGAAGGUUGGGAUUGAUUUUGGGAGUUGAGCUUCAAACAGUUGUGGAAUUAGGGACCAAAAAGGGGCCAAAAUAAGCAUUUUUCUUGGUUUUCGCACCAUAACUUAAGUAUAGAUAAAUAGAAAUCUAUGAAAUUAAACACAAGGUUUAUGACCAUAAAAGGAAGG
This 940-nucleotide long non-coding RNA is filed under the name Mytilus galloprovincialis (Mediterranean mussel). Lineage: Eukaryota; Metazoa; Mollusca; Bivalvia; Mytilida; Mytilidae. The record is from RNAcentral.